Oryctolagus cuniculus (rabbit) is the source of this 2117-nucleotide long non-coding RNA. Lineage: Eukaryota; Metazoa; Chordata; Mammalia; Lagomorpha; Leporidae. The record is from Ensembl.
GUCAGGACUGGGUCAAGCAGAAACCAAGGGCCAGGACACUCAAGCCUGGUUUCCCACAUGGGUAGUAGGGACCCAAGUACUUGGCCCAUCUUCUGCUGCCUUCCCAAGUGCAUUGGCAGGGAGCUGAAUCAGAAGCAGAGCAGCCAGAACUCAAAACCAGCCUUCUGAAAUGGGAUGCCAGCAUUGCAAUCAAUGGCUUAUCCCAUUGUGCCACAAUGCCGGCUCCUGUCAGCCACUUUCAGGCUCCCCAGGAGUUACAGGUCUGAAAGACAUCUGGGACCUUGAAAGGGUAAGUGGAAAGGGAAAGAGAUGGGUACAGGUAAGCAAUGGGAAAAUGCAGAAAAAGAAGAAGCUCUUUUUUCUUUUCUUUUUUUAAAUCUGACAGAGUUAUAGACGCCCAUAUGGGAUGCCAGCGCUGCAGGCGGAGGAUUAACCAAGUGAGCCACGGUGCCGGCCCCAAGAAGCUCUUUUUUCCACUAGCGUUUCUCAAGGAAAAUAUGUUUGAACUAUACCAGGCCAGCUCAAAAACAGCAUCAGGUUUUUGGAGACAAUCCCACCAAGGUCAAGCUGCCAUCGUCCCUGCUGUCAUCCUCAUGCACACACUUGCGUGGCAUUGGAGAGGCUCCACCCAGCUCUCCUGGGCUUCAGCCCAUGUCAUACCCUGAAGCAGUCUGGGAAGCAGGAAACUGACAUGCAGUAAGGUCAAAGGUUUGUAUGGAACAAAUGGAGGGCUUGAGCUUUGACACCCUGAGCUUUCUUCCAUGGUGGAGCAUUGUGCUAUGAGCAGGGCUCUGCACUAAGACUCCCUGGAUGUGAAUGCUGGCCCUGCCAUCCACCACCCAGGUAACCUUGGGCCAGUUACUUACCUCUCUUGUCUUGGUUUAUUCAUCUGCAAAAUGGAAAUAGAACAGCUGAGUCAGAGUCAUUGUAAUUGCAGAGUAAGUGAACACACAUAAAGUGCACAAACCAACGUGGAAAGCACUNNNNNNNNNNNNNNNNNNNNNNNNNNNNNNNNNNNNNNNNNNNNNNNNNNNNNNNNNNNNNNNNNNNNNNNNNNNNNNNNNNNNNNNNNNNNNNNNNNNNAAUGAGGGCUUGAUGUUCAUGUGGGAGGCAGACAGUAAGGGGACAGGAGCCAAAGCUCAGGUCGAUCUCCCUGAUCGGAAUCUGGGGUGGGUGUUGUGGUUUCGGGAAGAAGACAGGCUGGUAUGCCCUGAUAGGGUGAGUUCUGCCUGGGGGUGCUUCAGCACCGGCUCUUCCUGCUCAGUGGAGCCACCACCCCUGCUCCUGGUUCCCGUCAUGCUCUGGACUGCUCGGCUCUGUGGUGGUGAAACAUUGGUUAUUUAAGGUCAAGCGCCGCUUGCUCCUCCAGGCAUACCCAGGUUCUGUUGGCUAGAGGCCCAUCACCUGUGUUAAGAUCUUUGCCAACAAUUAAACAUGGCUCAAGUGCUUAGCCACACCUCCUCUCCCAAGUGUUUCCAGUCCAUGAGGAUUGAAGCUGGAGCUGCUUCAGAUCCAGGUGAAACCACACAGAGAAGAAUCUUAUUCAAAAUCUCAGCCUGGGAAUCCUUCAACCGCAUACAGUAUGCUCCAGACAUUCCGACCCAGGCACACUCUCUGGAACCCAGAGCACCCUGAGCAGAGCUCCAGCCAAGCUGGGAGAGCCCCCUCCGCCUUUUACUGACAGAGCAGGCCUGGUGUGAGCUGGUUCUGUGGUCACAGCCUUAGUGAGAGCAUAACACGCUGCCUCUCCCAUGUCUCUCCCGACCCGUGUCUCCCAGGGAGUGUUCGGCAUGAAAACUAGGGGACGUCUCAGAAAAGUCACAUGAUCGGGGCCAGAUUUAACAACAAGGGAAGAAGAAGUCUCAGCGGUAAUUCUGGGUACCAGUUUUCUUACGCUCUCUUUAAAACGCCACCCAGGCUAGAGUAGUACUGGUUUGGCAUUCAAGUGUUUAAGAACGCUGGUGAAGGUCUCCUGUGGACUGUUCAUGGGAACAACACACAGAUGGAAAAGCGUCCAUUACUGCCGGCUCUUAUCUCUGGCAGAGCUUGGAAGCUCUCUGCCUCCCUGGUCUCGUCAUUAGUCACGGAAUAAAAGGCAACAAUGGAUUAUAUUUCCA